GGCAGUGUAGUGUAAUGGGUAAAGAACUGGUCUUGUAACCUAAAGGUCACAGGUUCGAUUCCUGGGUAGGACACUGCCA
RNAcentral lists this transfer RNA (79 nucleotides) under Anguilla anguilla (European eel). Its description in RNAcentral is "tRNA-OTHER". The record is from RNAcentral. Lineage: Eukaryota; Metazoa; Chordata; Actinopteri; Anguilliformes; Anguillidae.